GAUGAAGAACGUAGCGAAAUGCGAUAAGUAAUGUGAAUUGCAGAAUUCCGUGAAUCAUCGAAUCUUUGAACGCACAUUGCGCCCCCUGGUAUUCCGGGGGGCAUGCCUGUCCGAGCGUCAUUGCAACCCUCAAGCGCGGCUUGUGUGUUGGGCUUCGUCCCCCCGUGGACGUGCCCGAAAGGCAGUGGCGGCGUCCCGAAUGGUGCCCGAGCGUAUGGGAACUCUCUUCCGCUCGAACCGGCCCAUUCGGCGCUGGUCGAACCCCAAUUUUUUUUUACCGGUUGACCUCGGAUCAGGUAGGGAUGCCCGCUGAACUUAAGCAUAUCAAUAAGCGGAGGA
This 339-nucleotide unclassified non-coding RNA is filed under the name soil metagenome. RNAcentral describes it as "partial contains 5.8S ribosomal RNA, internal transcribed spacer 2, and large subunit ribosomal RNA". The stretch from base 1 to 120 matches the Rfam family "5.8S ribosomal RNA", at positions 35 to 154 of the family's 154-position model. The record is from RNAcentral.